GACGAACGCUGGCGGCGUGCUUAACACAUGCAAGUCGAGCGGAAAGGCCCUUCGUGGUACUCGAGCGGCGGACGGGUGAGUAACACGUGAGUAAUCUUCCCUUGGCUUUGGGUUAACUACCGGAAACGGUGGCUAAUACCGGAUACGACAACCGUCUGCAUGUGCUGGUUGUGGAAAGUUUUUUCUGCCAGGGAGGUGCUCGCGGCCUAUCAGCUUGGUUGUUGGGUAAUGGCGUACCAAGCCUUCGACGGGUAGCCGGGGUGAGAGGGUGACCGGCCACACUGGGACUGAGACACGGCACAGACGCCUACGGGAGGCAGCAGUGGGGAAUAUGGGAAAAUGGGCGGAAGCCUGAGCCAGCAAAGCCGCGUGAGGGACGACGGCGAUCGGGUUGUAAGGCUCUUUCAGUACCGACGAAGGGGCGAUGAUGGUGGUGACGGUAGGUACAGAAGAAGCACCGGCCAACUACGUG
RNAcentral lists this ribosomal RNA (472 nucleotides) under uncultured bacterium. RNAcentral's name for it is "partial 16S ribosomal RNA". It matches the Rfam family "Bacterial small subunit ribosomal RNA", at positions 28 to 507 of the family's 1533-position model. The record is from RNAcentral.